GUGAGUAACGCGUGAGAAUCUGCCCAUUUGUGGGGGAUAACUCGGGGAAACUCGAGCUAAUACCGCAUAAUCCCUACGGGGGAAAGCAGGGGACCUUCGGGCCUUGUGCAGAUGGAUGAGCUCGCGUCGGAUUAGCUUGUUGGUGAGGUAAAGGCUCACCAAGGCGACGAUCCGUAGCUGGUCUGAGAGGAUGAUCAGCCACACCGGGACUGAGACACGGCCCGGACUCCUACGGGAGGCAGCAGUGGGGAAUCUUGGACAAUGGGGGCAACCCUGAUCCAGCCAUGCCGCGUGUGUGAAGAAGGCCUUCGGGUUGUAAAGCACUUUCAGUAGGGAGGAAGGCUUACCGCUAAUAACGGUGAGUACUUGACGUUACCUACAGAAGAAGCACCGGCUAAUUUCGUGCCAGCAGCCGCGGUAAUACGAAAGGUGCGAGCGUUAAUCGGAAUUACUGGGCGUAAAGCGCGCGUAGGCGGUUUGUUAAGUCAGAUGUGAAAGCCCCGGGCUCAACCUGGGAAUUGCAUUUGAAACUGGCAGGCUAGAGUGCAGUAGAGGGAGGUG
Molecule: ribosomal RNA, 561 nt
Filed under: uncultured Alcanivorax sp.
Lineage: Bacteria; Pseudomonadati; Pseudomonadota; Gammaproteobacteria; Oceanospirillales; Alcanivoracaceae
Description: bacterial SSU rRNA
Rfam family: Bacterial small subunit ribosomal RNA
Source: RNAcentral